UUCUGGCUGUGGUGAGAGGAGGGUGUUGCUCCAGUCCGAUCCCGAACUUGCAUCUUUUGUUGAGCAUUCGUCGCCGCUGUCCGUGGCGGAGGGAAAUUCUCAUCUUUCUCUACACGUCGUUGCAGAUAACUCAAUAAAACAGUCCCCCCAUCCCUGAAGCACCAAGUGUGUAUAGAAAACGGAAUCUUGUAAACAGAAAUCAUCUUCAACAAAACCAUAUUCAGCCUGAGUGCACUUCGUCAAAUAUUCUUCAAGACAGAGGAAGACAAGAAGAAUCCACGGUCAUCUUCACACCGGAGAUAGAACCGUGAGAUAAAUAAGAGAAGAGCGAGAGAGAAAGAUAGACAGAGAGAGAGAGAGAGAAAAGGGCGAGACCGUCAAUAAAGAUUACAUCUCAAGAAGGAAAAGGACAUAAGCACAAGAAGAUGAGGACCUCGCUCGCCGUCCUGAGGAAGAGACCGCAGGUAUGUGUGGGCGUCCUGAGGAAGUACCGACGCCUGCGCAGAAGGAGCUCGCUCAAACAGGAGUACAAGAAGCUGAGGUCUCUCCUGCCGGGAUCCCACAGGGCGCCACAGCUCAGGAGGAAGGU
Molecule: long non-coding RNA, 589 nt
Organism: Penaeus chinensis
Lineage: Eukaryota; Metazoa; Arthropoda; Malacostraca; Decapoda; Penaeidae
Exons: 3
Source: RefSeq, a predicted model, not a curated record